RNAcentral lists this long non-coding RNA (386 nucleotides) under Citrus x clementina. RNAcentral's name for it is "Citrus clementina (C. clementina) long non-coding RNA (CCLE_LNC000125)". Lineage: Eukaryota; Viridiplantae; Streptophyta; Magnoliopsida; Sapindales; Rutaceae. The record is from RNAcentral.
AAAAAUAUAAAUAUUAGUUAAUAUAAAAUGUUUAAUAUAAUUUAGACUUAACUACAACUAAAAGCACACAAUUCACACAAGCUCAUAACUCACAAAUCAAAUUCUAAAUCACUUUCUCACAAUCUUACUCGUCCUUUCCAAAUUAUUCGUGCAGUAGUAAGCACCCAACUCGUCUUCAUCUCAUCAUAGCCUAGUAACACGUUGCGUUCUCAGUGGCCGAGUAGUCUAACUUAUCGCAACGUCAACUAGCAACCACACAUGUGACUUUGUUGUGCCAUAAUCGGUGAUCGGCAGGUGUCAUUACUCAUGGACAACAAUCACGUCAAUAUUGUAUAAAAAUCACAUUAUUUAAAUUUUGUUUUGAAAAUCAUUAUUUGAAUAUUAUA